UUCCCCUCUUUCACCAACUGAAACAGAGUUUGAAUGAAAUCUGUGUCCUAGUAAAAUCUGACAAGAAAAGUAGGACAUAGUGAAAAGAAAGUCUCACAACUGGAUCUAGAAAUUUUACUUACAUGGGUGUAGGGAUAUUUAAUGUCAUUAGGCCUUCUCACUCUCACAUUUUUUUCCUCCAGAGGAAUCUAUUGCCAGGCAACUGGAAGGUAUGAACCCCACGAUGAACAACCUUUGCUUCUGUGGUAACCUUCACUGGCUCCUUCUCUGCAGAGCAGGGGGAAGAACCUACAUCCAGUGACUGACAGAAGCAGAUUUGGUGAUAUACAGCCAAACACUGAGCUGAGCUCCUGGAAUUCAGUUGAUGAGAGGAGGAAUGAUCAUACGGACAAGAGUGUUCUGCGACCACAGCCUAGCAGAAGCUUCAUCAGAGACCAGAAAGACUUCAUCCAUCAGCUGAUGGGAGGAGAUGCAGAGUCCUACAGUCAGGCAUGAGGUGGAGCUUUGGCCAUGCUGCUGAGGAGGAGAAGAAAGGAUUACAGGAACCAGAGGGGUCAGGAACACCAUGAGAACAUGGCCCACAAAAUCAGUCGAUCAGGAAUCAUGGGGACUCACAGACAUCAGAGAGCCUAUAAUGGUCUGAUUGAUGUCCUCUGCAUAUAUGUUAAGGCUGAGUAGCUUGGUGUCCUUGUGGGAUUCCUAAAAGUAGGAGCUGGGGUGUUCACUGAUUGUUUUGCAUACUUAUGGGACCCUUUUCCUCCUACUGGGUUACCUUGUACAGCUUUGGUGUGAUGGUAUGUUCCUGGUCUUAUUGUAGCAUACCAUGCAGUAUUUAGUUGAUGUCCCUGGGUGGCCUGCUCUUUUCCGAGGGGAGGGAGGUGGGUCUGGGUAAGAGGAAAGGUUGGAGGAAGAGACUUGGGGCAGACAAGGGAGGGGAAAGUGUGGUAGGGGUGUAAUUCAUGAGAGAAGAAUAAAAAUGUAGUGUUAUUUCCUAUCUAUAGAAGUAAAAAUUGACUGGUAACACAUUUGAUUAACACUCAGAGUAGAAGAAUUCUGUACUGCUAGUGGGAAUGCAGAUUAGUACAAGCAAUUUAGAAAGCAAUUUUCUAAUUCCUAAGGAAGUUGAAAAUGUAUGUAUACUAUGAGCCAGAAAUCUUUCUUUUUUCUGGUGAAUCUUUGGUGGGAACACACAAGUGACACAUAUAUGUGGGUUCAUUUUAGCACUGUAGUUAUCAAAGCAGGAAAAUGGAUAGAUAGCUACAUAAUGGGUUAUCCAUUCAGUGGCAUCCUAUUACAACAAAUCACCUAUAUUUGUAAGCAAUACUGAAGAAGACAUGAUCAAAGGAAAUUAAGGAUCUCCAAGCAACGGAGAAUUCAAGUCAUCUAAAGUGGGAAUCAUGACAUGCUGAAAAGGCAAUACUGAGUGCUAGUGGUGUGUGUGUGUGUUUGUGUGUGUGUGUGU
This is a long non-coding RNA of Mesocricetus auratus (golden hamster), 1462 nucleotides long. RefSeq lists it as uncharacterized. The transcript has 3 exons. The record is from RefSeq and is a predicted model, not a curated record. NCBI's taxonomy places the organism in Eukaryota, Metazoa, Chordata, Mammalia, Rodentia, Cricetidae.